This 235-nucleotide ribosomal RNA is filed under the name uncultured bacterium. Its description in RNAcentral is "partial 16S ribosomal RNA". It matches the Rfam family "Bacterial small subunit ribosomal RNA", at positions 96 to 334 of the family's 1533-position model. The record is from RNAcentral.
UGGCGGGAGGGUGAGUAAUGUCUGGGAAACUGCCCGAUGGAGGGGGAUAACUACUGGAAACGGUAGCUAAUACCGCAUAACGUCGCAAGACCAAAGAGGGGGACCUUCGGGCCUCUUGCCAUCGGAUGUGCCCAGAUGGGAUUAGCUAGUAGGUGGGGUAAAGGCUCACCUAGGCGACGAUCCCUAGCUGGUCUGAGAGGAUGACCAGCCACACUGGAACUGAGACACGGUCCAG